GAUGAACGCUGGCGGCGUGCCUAAUACAUGCAAGUCGAGCGAACAGACGAGGAGCUUGCUCCUCUGAUGUUAGCGGCGGACGGGUGAGUAACACGUGGAUAACCUACCUAUAAGACUGGGAUAACUUCGGGAAACCGGAGCUAAUACCGGAUAACAUGUUGAACCGCAUGGUUCAACAGUGAAAGACGGUCUUGCUGUCACUUAUAGAUGGAUCCGCGCCGCAUUAGCUAGUUGGUAAGGUAACGGCUUACCAAGGCAACGAUGCGUAGCCGACCUGAGAGGGUGAUCGGCCACACUGGAACUGAGACACGGUCCAGACUCCUACGGGAGGCAGCAGUAGGGAAUCUUCCGCAAUGGGCGAAAGCCUGACGGAGCAACGCCGCGUGAGUGAAGAAGGUCUUCGGAUCGUAAAACCCUGUUAUUAGGGAAGAACAAAUGUGUAAGUAACUAUGCACGUCUUGACGGUACCUAAUCAGAAAGCCACGGCUAACUACGUG
RNAcentral lists this ribosomal RNA (497 nucleotides) under uncultured bacterium. RNAcentral's name for it is "partial 16S ribosomal RNA". It matches the Rfam family "Bacterial small subunit ribosomal RNA", at positions 28 to 507 of the family's 1533-position model. The record is from RNAcentral.